Non-coding RNA from Meloidogyne enterolobii, 69 nucleotides. The record is from the annotation of a GenBank genome assembly. Lineage: Eukaryota; Metazoa; Nematoda; Chromadorea; Rhabditida; Meloidogynidae.
UCUUCGGUGGUGCAGUGGUAACGUUCUUGAAUACAAUUUUUCUCCAAGGUUCGAGUCCUUAUUGGGGAA